RNAcentral lists this ribosomal RNA (374 nucleotides) under uncultured organism. RNAcentral's name for it is "partial 16S ribosomal RNA". It matches the Rfam family "Bacterial small subunit ribosomal RNA", at positions 527 to 896 of the family's 1533-position model. The record is from RNAcentral.
GUAGGUGGCAAGCGUUGUCCGGAAUUAUUGGGCGUAAAGCGCGCGCAGGCGGUUCUUUAAAUCUGAUGUGAAAGCCCACGGCUCAACCGUGGAGGGUCAUUGGAAACUGGAGAACUUGAGUACAGAAGAGGAAAGCGGAAUUCCACGUGUAGCGGUGAAAUGCGUAGAGAUGUGGAGGAACACCAGUGGCGAAGGCGGCUUUCUGGUCUGUAACUGACGCUGAGGCGCGAAAGCGUGGGGAGCAAACAGGGAUUAGAUACCCUGGUAGUCCACGCCGUAAACGAUGAGUGCUAAGUGUUAGGGGGUUUCCGCCCCCUUAGUGCUGCAGCUAACGCAUUAAGCACUCCGCCUGGGGGGUUACGGCCGCAAGGCUG